Molecule: ribosomal RNA, 2920 nt
Filed under: Bacillus anthracis (anthrax bacterium)
Lineage: Bacteria; Bacillati; Bacillota; Bacilli; Caryophanales; Bacillaceae
Description: bacterial LSU rRNA
Rfam family: Bacterial large subunit ribosomal RNA
Source: RNAcentral
UUAAGUUAGAAAGGGCGCACGGUGGAUGCCUUGACACUAGGAGUCGAUGAAGGACGGGACUAACGCCGAUAUGCUUCGGGGAGCUGUAAGUAAGCUUUGAUCCGAAGAUUUCCGAAUGGGGAAACCCACCAUACGUAAUGGUAUGGUAUCCUUAUCUGAAUACAUAGGGUAAGGAAGACAGACCCAGGGAACUGAAACAUCUAAGUACCUGGAGGAAGAGAAAGCAAAUGCGAUUUCCUGAGUAGCGGCGAGCGAAACGGAACAUAGCCCAAACCAAGAGGCUUGCCUCUUGGGGUUGUAGGACAUUCUAUACGGAGUUACAAAGGAACGAGGUAGACGAAGCGACCUGGAAAGGUCCGUCGUAGAGGGUAACAACCCCGUAGUCGAAACUUCGUUCUCUCUUGAAUGUAUCCUGAGUACGGCGGAACACGUGAAAUUCCGUCGGAAUCUGGGAGGACCAUCUCCCAAGGCUAAAUACUCCCUAGUGAUCGAUAGUGAACCAGUACCGUGAGGGAAAGGUGAAAAGCACCCCGGAAGGGGAGUGAAAGAGAUCCUGAAACCGUGUGCCUACAAAUAGUCAGAGCCCGUUAACGGGUGAUGGCGUGCCUUUUGUAGAAUGAACCGGCGAGUUACGAUCCCGUGCGAGGUUAAGCUGAAGAGGCGGAGCCGCAGCGAAAGCGAGUCUGAAUAGGGCGUUUAGUACGUGGUCGUAGACCCGAAACCAGGUGAUCUACCCAUGUCCAGGGUGAAGUUCAGGUAACACUGAAUGGAGGCCCGAACCCACGCACGUUGAAAAGUGCGGGGAUGAGGUGUGGGUAGCGGAGAAAUUCCAAUCGAACCUGGAGAUAGCUGGUUCUCCCCGAAAUAGCUUUAGGGCUAGCCUUAAGUGUAAGAGUCUUGGAGGUAGAGCACUGAUUGGACUAGGGGUCCUCAUCGGAUUACCGAAUUCAGUCAAACUCCGAAUGCCAAUGACUUAUCCUUAGGAGUCAGACUGCGAGUGAUAAGAUCCGUAGUCAAAAGGGAAACAGCCCAGACCGCCAGCUAAGGUCCCAAAGUGUGUAUUAAGUGGAAAAGGAUGUGGAGUUGCUUAGACAACUAGGAUGUUGGCUUAGAAGCAGCCACCAUUUAAAGAGUGCGUAAUAGCUCACUAGUCGAGUGACUCUGCGCCGAAAAUGUACCGGGGCUAAACACACCACCGAAGCUGCGGAUUGAUACCAAUGGUAUCAGUGGUAGGGGAGCGUUCUAAGGACAGUGAAGUCAGACCGGAAGGACUGGUGGAGUGCUUAGAAGUGAGAAUGCCGGUAUGAGUAGCGAAAGACGGGUGAGAAUCCCGUCCACCGAAUGCCUAAGGUUUCCUGAGGAAGGCUCGUCCGCUCAGGGUUAGUCAGGACCUAAGCCGAGGCCGACAGGCGUAGGCGAUGGACAACAGGUUGAUAUUCCUGUACCACCUCUUUAUCGUUUGAGCAAUGGAGGGACGCAGAAGGAUAGAAGAAGCGUGCGAUUGGUUGUGCACGUCCAAGCAGUUAGGCUGAUAAGUAGGCAAAUCCGCUUAUCGUGAAGGCUGAGCUGUGAUGGGGAAGCUCCUUAUGGAGCGAAGUCUUUGAUUCCCCGCUGCCAAGAAAAGCUUCUAGCGAGAUAAAAGGUGCCUGUACCGCAAACCGACACAGGUAGGCGAGGAGAGAAUCCUAAGGUGUGCGAGAGAACUCUGGUUAAGGAACUCGGCAAAAUGACCCCGUAACUUCGGGAGAAGGGGUGCUUUCUUAACGGAAAGCCGCAGUGAAUAGGCCCAAGCGACUGUUUAGCAAAAACACAGCUCUCUGCGAAGCCGUAAGGCGAAGUAUAGGGGGUGACACCUGCCCGGUGCUGGAAGGUUAAGGAGAGGGGUUAGCGUAAGCGAAGCUCUGAACUGAAGCCCCAGUAAACGGCGGCCGUAACUAUAACGGUCCUAAGGUAGCGAAAUUCCUUGUCGGGUAAGUUCCGACCCGCACGAAAGGUGUAACGAUUUGGGCACUGUCUCAACCAGAGACUCGGUGAAAUUAUAGUACCUGUGAAGAUGCAGGUUACCCGCGACAGGACGGAAAGACCCCGUGGAGCUUUACUGUAGCCUGAUAUUGAAUUUUGGUACAGUUUGUACAGGAUAGGCGGGAGCCUUUGAAACCGGAGCGCUAGCUUCGGUGGAGGCGCUGGUGGGAUACCGCCCUGACUGUAUUGAAAUUCUAACCUACGGGUCUUAUCGACCCGGGAGACAGUGUCAGGUGGGCAGUUUGACUGGGGCGGUCGCCUCCUAAAGUGUAACGGAGGCGCCCAAAGGUUCCCUCAGAAUGGUUGGAAAUCAUUCGUAGAGUGCAAAGGCAUAAGGGAGCUUGACUGCGAGACCUACAAGUCGAGCAGGGACGAAAGUCGGGCUUAGUGAUCCGGUGGUUCCGCAUGGAAGGGCCAUCGCUCAACGGAUAAAAGCUACCCCGGGGAUAACAGGCUUAUCUCCCCCAAGAGUCCACAUCGACGGGGAGGUUUGGCACCUCGAUGUCGGCUCAUCGCAUCCUGGGGCUGUAGUCGGUCCCAAGGGUUGGGCUGUUCGCCCAUUAAAGCGGUACGCGAGCUGGGUUCAGAACGUCGUGAGACAGUUCGGUCCCUAUCCGUCGUGGGCGUAGGAAAUUUGAGAGGAGCUGUCCUUAGUACGAGAGGACCGGGAUGGACGCACCGCUGGUGUACCAGUUGUUCUGCCAAGGGCAUAGCUGGGUAGCUAUGUGCGGAAGGGAUAAGUGCUGAAAGCAUCUAAGCAUGAAGCCCCCCUCAAGAUGAGAUUUCCCAUAGCGUAAGCUAGUAAGAUCCCUGAAAGAUGAUCAGGUUGAUAGGUUCGAGGUGGAAGCAUGGUGACAUGUGGAGCUGACGAAUACUAAUAGAUCGAGGACUUAACCAU